Long non-coding RNA from Rhincodon typus (whale shark), 570 nucleotides. RefSeq lists it as uncharacterized. The record is from RefSeq and is a predicted model, not a curated record. The transcript has 3 exons. Lineage: Eukaryota; Metazoa; Chordata; Chondrichthyes; Orectolobiformes; Rhincodontidae.
CGGAGCAGUGUCGGCGGUGACUCCUGGCUGCGCAGGCCUGGAGUCUGGACUCAUGGAAUGGCCGCAGGAAGUCGGCUGUAGUACUGGUCGAUCCGGGAGUCCUGGCUGGGUACGCAGUUUAUCUGGAGACACACUAGAGAUACUACUGAGACACCAUGGAUUGGCUCAUGAUGAAGAGGCAAUUUGAGAAGAAGGCAUAAUGAGGAUCAGGAGAGGCAAGAUACAGUUCAGUUCAGAAGAACCAAACAUUUCAACAGAGGUUUUUUCUAGUUUGUGGAGAUUCUAAGCUCAGAGAGUUUGGAUAGGGGUCUUCAAAUUGUUAGAACGUGGAAGUUUAGGCCAUCUGAAUUGAAGAAGUUUCAUACCCAGGAAUCAUACAAUGGUCUCUACUGUUCAAAAAUAAAGAAACUGGAACAUGUCAAGGAAGUAAAGUUAUUAAAAGCUGAGACAGAAGUGAUAUUUCUCAUGGCUUACAUCUCUGUAAUGGAUGCAGUUGGGAAUCAGAUAGCACCUUCCAAAUACAUGACUACUUCCAUCUUGAAGGACUAGAGCAGCAGAUACAUGGGAACA